This 472-nucleotide ribosomal RNA is filed under the name uncultured Halomonas sp. Its description in RNAcentral is "bacterial SSU rRNA". It matches the Rfam family "Bacterial small subunit ribosomal RNA", at positions 60 to 523 of the family's 1533-position model. The record is from RNAcentral. Lineage: Bacteria; Pseudomonadati; Pseudomonadota; Gammaproteobacteria; Oceanospirillales; Halomonadaceae.
AGUCGAGCGGCAGCACGGGGAGCUUGCUCCCUGGUGGCGAGCGGCGGACGGGUGAGUAAUGCAUAGGAAUCUGCCCGGUAGUGGGGGAUAACGUGGGGAAACCCACGCUAAUACCGCAUACGUCCUACGGGAGAAAGCGGAGGAUCUUCGGACUUCGCGCUAUCGGAUGAGCCUAUGUCGGAUUAGCUAGUUGGUAAGGUAACGGCUUACCAAGGCGACGAUCCGUAGCUGGUCUGAGAGGAUGAUCAGCCACACUGGGACUGAGACACGGCCCAGACUCCUACGGGAGGCAGCAGUGGGGAAUAUUGGACAAUGGGCGAAAGCCUGAUCCAGCCAUGCCGCGUGUGUGAAGAAGGCUUUCGGGUUGUAAAGCACUUUCAGCGAGGAAGAAAGCCUCUGGGUUAAUACCCCAGAGGAAAGACAUCACUCGCAGAAGAAGCACCGGCUAACUCCGUGCCAGCAGCCGCGGUAA